GUCUUUAAGUUUAAAAUUUAAAGUCUAAUCUGCCCACUGAUAUAUAUUGAAGGGCCGCGGUAUUUUGACUGUGCAAAGGUAGCAUAAUCAUUUGUCUUUUAAUUGAAGGCUGGAAUGAAUGAUUGAAUGAAAUAUUAACUGUCUCAUUAUUAAAAUAAUAAAAAUUUAGCUUUUAAGUUAAAAGGCUUAAAUUUAUUUAAAGGACGAGAAGACCCUAUAGAUCUUUAUAUUUAUAUUUAAUUUAUAAAUUUGAUUAAUAUUAAAUAAAUAAAAUAAAAAUAUUUUGUUGGGGUGAUGGGAAAAUUUAAUAAACUUUUUUUUAUUAUAGACCAUUAAUUUAUGAAAAAUUGAUCCAUUUUUAGUGAUUAUAAGAUUAAGUUACCUUAGGGAUAACAGCGUAAUUUUUUUAAAGAGUUCAUAUCGAUAAAAAAGAUUGCGACCUCGAUGUUGAAUUAAAGGUUAUUUCUAGAUGUAGAAGUUUAGAGUUUAGGUCUGUUCGACCUUUGAAYCUUU
This 513-nucleotide ribosomal RNA is filed under the name Ceraeochrysa tucumana. RNAcentral's name for it is "partial 16S ribosomal RNA". It matches the Rfam family "Archaeal large subunit ribosomal RNA", at positions 1924 to 2668 of the family's 2987-position model. The record is from RNAcentral. Lineage: Eukaryota; Metazoa; Arthropoda; Insecta; Neuroptera; Chrysopidae.